This 508-nucleotide ribosomal RNA is filed under the name uncultured bacterium. Its description in RNAcentral is "bacterial SSU rRNA". It matches the Rfam family "Bacterial small subunit ribosomal RNA", at positions 29 to 525 of the family's 1533-position model. The record is from RNAcentral.
AACGAACGCUGGCGGCGUGGAUAAGACAUGCAAGUCGAACGGGAUCAUUGGAGUAGCAAUACAACAGUGGUCUAGUGGCGAACGGGUGCGUAACACGUGGAUACAUUCCGGGAAGCGGGGGAUAGCCCAGGGAAACUUGGAUUAAUACCGCAUGUGGUCGAAAGACUAAAGGCAGGGACCGCAAGGCCUGCCACUUCCCGAUUGGUCCGCGGCCUAUCAGCUAGUUGGCGGGGUAAAAGCCCACCAAGGCUACGACGGGUAGCUGGUCUUAGAGGACGACCAGCCACACUGGAACUGAGACACGGUCCAGACACCUACGGGUGGCAGCAGUCGAGAAUCUUUCACAAUGGGGGCAACCCUGAUGGAGCGACGCCGCGUGGAGGAUAAGGUCUUCGGAUUGUAAACUCCUGUCAUGUGUGAACAAGGCUGUCGUGUUAAUAGCAUGGCAGAUUGAUGGGUAACACAAGAGGAAGAGACGGCUAACUCUGUGCCAGCAGCCGCGGUAAUC